RNAcentral lists this ribosomal RNA (505 nucleotides) under uncultured bacterium. Its description in RNAcentral is "partial 16S ribosomal RNA". It matches the Rfam family "Bacterial small subunit ribosomal RNA", at positions 28 to 507 of the family's 1533-position model. The record is from RNAcentral.
GACGAACGCUGGCGGCGUGCCUAAUACAUGCAAGUAGAACGCACAGUUUAUACCGUAGCUUGCUACACCAUAGACUGUGAGUUGCGAACGGGUGAGUAACGCGUAGGUAACCUGCCUGGUAGCGGGGGAUAACUAUUGGAAACGAUAGCUAAUACCGCAUAAUAUUGAUUAUUGCAUGAUAAUUGAUUGAAAGAUGCUAUUGCAUCACUACCAGAUGGACCUGCGUUGUAUUAGCUAGUAGGUGAGGUAACGGCUCACCUAGGCGACGAUACAUAGCCGACCUGAGAGGCUGAUCGGCCACACUGGGCCUGAGACACGGCCCAGACUCCUACGGGAGGCAGCAGUAGGGAAUCUUCGGCAAUGGACGAAAGUCUGACCGAGCAACGCCGCGUGAGUGAAGAAGGUUUUCGGAUCGUAAAGCUCUGUUGUAAGAGAAGAACGGGUGUGAGAGUGGAAAGUUCACACUGUGACGGUAUCUUACCAGAAAGGGACGGCUAACUACGUG